This 1717-nucleotide ribosomal RNA is filed under the name Pholcus phalangioides (longbodied cellar spider). Its description in RNAcentral is "SSU rRNA". It matches the Rfam family "Eukaryotic small subunit ribosomal RNA". The record is from RNAcentral. Lineage: Eukaryota; Metazoa; Arthropoda; Arachnida; Araneae; Pholcidae.
GAUUAAGCCAUGCAUGUCUAAGUACAGGCUUUAUAAAAGCGAAACCGCGAAUGGCUCAUUAAAUCAGUUAUGGUUCCUUAGAUCGUGCCACGUUACUUGGAUAACUGUGGUAAUUCUAGAGCUAAUACAUGCAGCGGAGCUCCGAUCCCGCGAGGGUGACGAGCGCUUUUAUUAGACCAAGGCCAAUCGUUCGGUGACGACUCUGGAUAACUUUGUGCGGAUCGCAAGGGCGCGUCCCGGCGACGCAUCUUUCAAGUGUCUGCCUUAUCAACUGUCGACGGUAGGUCACGUGCCUACCGUGGUCGUAACGGGUGACGGGGAAUCAGGGUUCGAUUCCGGAGAGGGAGCCUGAGAAACGGCUACCACAUCCAAGGAAGGCAGCAGGCGCGCAAAUUACCCACUCCCGGCACGGGGAGGUAGUGACGAAAAAUAACGAUGCGGGUCUCUUCGAGAUUCCGCAAUCGGAAUGAGAGGGUCUCAAAUCCUCCUUCGAGGAUCUAUUGGAUGGCAAGUCUGGUGCCAGCAGCAGCGGUAACACCAGCUCCGAUAGCGUAUAUUAAAGUUGCUGCGGUUAAAAAGCUCGUAGUCGGAUUUCCGUUCUGGAGGGGUGGUCCGCUACCGGCGGUCACCGCCUGCCCGGAACAAGUGGCCGGUUUCUCUCGAUGACCUUGACCGGUCGUCCCGAGCGACCGGCGCGUUUACUUUGAGAAAAUUAGAGUGCUCGAAGCGGGCGCGACGCCUGGAUAAUGGUGCAUGGAAUAAUGGAAUAGGACCUCCGUUCUAUUUCGUUGGUCUUAGGAGCGCGAGGUAAUGAUCGAGAGGGACAGACGGGGGCAUCCGUAUCGCGGCGACAGAGGUGAAAUUCUUGGACCGUCGCGAGACGAACUACCGCGAAAGCAUUUGCCAAGGAUGUUUUCAUUAAUCAAGAACGAAAGUCAGAGGUUCGAAGGCGAUCAGAUACCGCCCUAGUUCUGACCAUAAACGAUGCCGACCGGCGAUCCGCCCGAGUUCCUCAAAUGACUCGGCGGGCAGCUUCCGGGAAACCAGAGUUUUUUGGUUCCGGGGGAAGUAUGGUUGCAAAGCUGAAACUUAAAGGAAUUGACGGAAGGGCACCACCAGGAGUGGAGCCUGCGGCUUAAUUUGACUCAACACGGGGAAACUCACCCGGCCCGGACACCGGAAGGAUUGACAGAUUGAGAGCUCUUUCUUGAUUCGGUGGGUGGUGGUGCAUGGCCGUUCUUAGUUGGUGGAGCGAUUUGUCUGGUUAAUUCCGUUAACGAUCGAGAUUCUAGCCUACUAAAUAGAGGGCUCUUGCGAGUCCGAGGGCCCGUCUUCUUAGGGGGACGGGCGGCGUCCAGCCGCACGAGACGGAGCAAUAACAGGUCUGUGAUGCCCUUAGAUGUCCGGGGCCGCACGCGCGCUACACUGAAGGAAACAGCGUGUGUUCUCCCGGUCCGGCGGGACCGGGUAACCCGCUGAACCUCCUUCGUGAUAGGGAUAGGGGAUUGUAACUGUUCCCCUCGAACGAGGAAUUCCUAGUAGUCGCGGAUCAUCAGUCCGCGGCGACUAGGUCCCUGCCCUUUGUACACACCGCCCGUCGCUACUACCGAUUGAACGAAUUAGUGAGGUCUUCGGACUGGCGUUCUCUCUGGGCUCCGUCCGGGGGGACCUGCCGGAAAGAUGACCGAACUUGUUCGUUUAGAGGAAGUAAAAGUCG